GUCUUUUAUACAGUUUUUCCUACAAGGUUACCACCCAUGUGGACCUUGUGGAGCACAGGACACAAAGUCACAAAGCCAAUCAAAACAGUAUUGAACAGUUAGACACUUCCAGAUAAUGUACGCAAACCCUCCCUUCUGCUUAUGAUACAAUUAACAAAGACAAUGGACUAACUCAUUAACUCUAAGCAGAAAAAACAUACACUUUUACAAACCCCCAAAAGUACCUCAAAAUACAACAUAUCCCCCCGAUUUUCCUAGAAGUCUUAUUUUUGCCCCACCGUGCACAUGGUCCCAUGCUCAAAACAGUUCCAUACACUUGACGACAAAACACUGCUGGACAAUUUAAGAUGGCCUCCGCCACAUGUUGGAAUCUGUUCCAGCUAAAAGUCCAAGGGGCAUUGUGCCAAGUCCUAAUAUGCACAAUUAGUGUUUCUAAAGAGCAAUACAUCCCAGGGGCCAUAGUCACAGGGUAAGAGGCUGGCAAGCAGGCCUCUCCAAAAACCAGUAGCGAGGUUACUUUCACCACAGUGGGGAACAUACCACUUAAGUUAUAAGGACUGAACAAAACCUAGGUUUGAUCUCCUUUUGUGAGUAUCCCUUUUAUUACUUUUAUCAGAGAGCACUAUAUUUUAUCUUUUUUUAUAUUGCCCUCAUUGGUUUGAUGCUUCUGCACGUUUAAGUAAAGACUAGAGUCCUAUUCGCUCCUCUUGGGACAACAUCCAGAUACACUGUAUACUGCAUCAAGAUCU
Molecule: non-coding RNA, 749 nt
Organism: Pelobates cultripes (western spadefoot toad)
Lineage: Eukaryota; Metazoa; Chordata; Amphibia; Anura; Pelobatidae
Source: the annotation of a GenBank genome assembly